RNAcentral lists this ribosomal RNA (449 nucleotides) under uncultured bacterium. Its description in RNAcentral is "partial 16S ribosomal RNA". It matches the Rfam family "Bacterial small subunit ribosomal RNA", at positions 29 to 523 of the family's 1533-position model. The record is from RNAcentral.
AACGAACGCUGGCGGCAGGCUUAACACAUGCAAGUCGAACGAUGUAGCAAUACAUAGUGGCGCACGGGUGAGUAACGCGUGGGAAUAUACCUUAUAGUGGGGAAUAACUUUGGGAAACUAAAGCUAAUACCGCAUACGCCCGAGAGGGGAAAGAUUUAUCGCUAUAAGAUUAGCCCGCGUGAGAUUAGGUAGUUGGUGGGGUAAUGGCCUACCAAGCCUACGAUCUCUAGCUGGUCUGAGAGGAUGAUCAGCCACACUGGAACUGAGACACGGUCCAGACUCCUACGGGAGGCAGCAGUGGGGAAUAUUGGGCAAUGGAGGAAACUCUGACCCAGCCAUGCCGCGUGAAUGAUGAAGGCCUUAGGGUUGUAAAGUUCUUUCGCCGAUGAGGAUAAUGACGGUAGUCGGAGAAGAAGCCCCGGCUAACUUCGUGCCAGCCGCCGCAGUAA